AAAUUUAAUUUAAUUUAACAGAAGAAAAAUUUCCCCUCUCGCACUUCUUGUCUUGCUUUCUAGUUUCUACAGGAGGGCAGAAUAAAGCAGCCUCUUGUUUCAGCCUCUCCAAAGUCGAAAAAAACCUAAAGACCCAAAUACCACGCCAUGUCUCAGGUGGAUAACAGAAAUUCAUCAGCAGCGAAGCGCGCAAGAACUGAUGGUAGUCGCAGGGAGGAUGAUUGGACUUGUCCAAGCUGUGGCAAUGUCAAUUUUUCAUUUAGGACUACUUGUAACAUGCGUAAUUGUACCCAACCUAGGCCAGCUGAUCAUAUUUCGAAAUCUGCUGCCAAGCCCCUGCAAGCACCACAGGGUUAUUCAUCAGCUCCUUAUUUAGGUUCUGGUGCACCUUCUUCAAUGUAUAUGGGUGUGCCACCAUAUGGUUCUUCUCUCUUCAACGGGUCAUCUAUUCCUCCAUACGACGUUCCAUUCACUGGGGGCUCGGCUUAUCAUUACAAUUAUGGCAGCCGCCUUUCUGGUGGCAGUCCAUACAGACCGUUGCAUAUUUCAGGACCACCUCCUUAUUCUGGUGGAUCUAUGAUGGGAAAUGGUGGGAUGUAUGCAAUGCCCCCCCUAAUGGACCGGUAUGGAUUAGGUAUGCCAAUGGGCCCUGCAGCUAUGGGGCCAAGGCCAGGUUUUUUCCCAGAUGAUAUAUCUCAGAAGAAGGGUUCAGAUGCAUCACGUGAUAAUGACUGGACAUGCCCGAAAUGUGGGAACAUCAACUUUUCUUUUAGAACUGUUUGUAACAUGAGGAAGUGCAAUACUCCAAAGCCAGGGUCCCAGGUUGCAAAGUCUGACAAAAAUUCCAAACAAAAAAUGCCGGAGGGAAGCUGGAAGUGUGAAAAAUGCAACAACAUAAACUAUCCAUUCCGGACAAAGUGCAAUAGACAAAAUUGUGGGGCUGAGAAACCAGCUGAGUCAAAGAAGUCCCCUUCGCCGGCACCUGAUGAGGAUGAUCAGGAUUGUUCUUCAAACUCUUGUGAUACCCUAAACUUCCAGAAAUCCAGUCAUUCGUUAUGAAUUCAAGGUCAGACCUGAAAAGAAAGGUUUUUAAUCCACGAUGCUUCUGAGGGGAGGGAUAUUGGGACUCCAACUAUUGGUUGUUGGCCCCCAAGCUCCUCACGAUUGGUCCAAACCUCAGUUGGGUGAUUUGUGCGGCCUACUUGUUAAAGUUUGCGAGUUUGCAAAAAUCCAUCCAUUUAGCCAGUUGAUGCCCUCAACUGUUUUCGCAUUCCAUUCUAAUCGUGGGAUUGUUUUAGGAGAAAGAAGGCAAAGUUCUAUCUGAUGAUAUUGACGAUGCAAUUUCCUGCACUCUGACAAUAGCUUACGAUAGCAUCAAUAAAAGGAACGUCAUGAUGCGACAAGAAUCCAUUCCAUGAGAUGCCUGCUUGUGGUAAAAGGCAAGGGCUUGGAAACAUUGCUUUCAAGGUAAAGUAAAGACCAAGCUUUGUGACAUAAACGUGCGCGCGCAAGUGGGUGAUUGUUACCGUAACUUCAAAGCAUGGGUGAUCCCCACUUUUUCGCUACAAGCCAAGCUCUUCAUUCACGGAAGAAAAAAACCAUCCCAGCGCUGUCACAAAUGUCUCUUCAAAUUGGACCUGUUGUGACACCAAUUGAUUUGCUGGGCUUGCAAUUUCAAUGAAACAUUUUUCAUUUCUUUCUAAAAUUAUUUUUCAAUAAGAAAGUAGAAUAACGUGUUUAGUAAGUAAUGACUUUUCUGAAUGGAGAAAUAAGAACUUUGGUUGGAUUGUCUUCAACAGACCUCUUAUCUUUUAGUGAAUCCAAAAAAAUGAAUAAUACCCAUCGGAAAAAAAAAGUUCUUAUUUUAGUUUGUAGACGCUUUCAUUUUUUUAUAUAUAAAUCUUUUCAAACAAAAAAAAAUUGAGAAGAAGGAAAGCUCUCUACAAGUAAAGACGAUCCAAAUUCUCACGAUACAUGACAAUUAGGCUUGCUUUGCUCUUUACAGUCCUGAAUGGAAGGAAGGUACAUGCCCAAGAACAACAGCAAUUUGACCACAACUCAAGCUCGAGGCAGGAAGGGCUAUGUUUUUUUGCUUGCCAAUUAUUAUCCAAUGACAUCAUAUGUAUCAUUAUUGAUAAUGGCGAAUAUAUGGUUAGUCUGCCAGACAAGGAGAUGAUUGCAUGGAGGGGAAAAAAAUUACCUUCAACAUAAACUAUGAUAGGUUAUCAAGUACCCCGAAAAAUAAUCAGUCAGCAACCAGCACUUGUAAACUAGCAGAAUAGACACCAUUCAGUAAUGACACCAAAUUUUCAAACA
This is an RNA transcript of Populus trichocarpa (black cottonwood), 2316 nucleotides long. It is a transcript of the gene named ranBP2-type zinc finger protein At1g67325, with no coding region annotated. NCBI's taxonomy places the organism in Eukaryota, Viridiplantae, Streptophyta, Magnoliopsida, Malpighiales, Salicaceae. The transcript has 11 exons. The record is from RefSeq and is a predicted model, not a curated record.